UAGGGAAUCUUCCGCAAUGGGCGAAAGCUUGACGGAGCAACGCCGCGUGAGUGAUGAAGGUCUUCGGAUCGUAAAACUCUGUUAUUAGGGAAGAACAAAUGUGUAAGUAACUAUGCACGUCUUGACGGUACUUAAUCAGAAAGCCACGGCUAACUACGUGCCAGCAGCCGCGGUAAUACGUAGGUGGCAAGCGUUAUCCGGAAUUAUUGGGCGUAAAGCGCGCGUAGGCGGGUUAUUAAGUCUAAUGUGAAAGCCCACGGCUCAACCGUAGAGGAUCAUUGGAAGCUGGAAAACUUGAGUACCGACGAGGAAAGUGGAAUUCCAUGUGUAGAGGUGAAAUGCGCAGUAAUAUGGAGAAACACCAGUGGCGAAGGCGACUUUCUGGUCUGUAACUGACGCUGAUGUGCGAAAGCGUGGGGAUCAAACAGG
RNAcentral lists this ribosomal RNA (429 nucleotides) under Actinomycetes bacterium. RNAcentral describes it as "Actinobacteria bacterium partial 16S ribosomal RNA". It matches the Rfam family "Bacterial small subunit ribosomal RNA", at positions 355 to 776 of the family's 1533-position model. The record is from RNAcentral. Lineage: Bacteria; Bacillati; Actinomycetota; Actinomycetes.